ACUUCUUUGCCUGAUUUAUGACAAAAAGUUUUUAAAGAGUUUUU
This 44-nucleotide small RNA is filed under the name Arabidopsis thaliana (thale cress). RNAcentral's name for it is "ATSL014260". Lineage: Eukaryota; Viridiplantae; Streptophyta; Magnoliopsida; Brassicales; Brassicaceae. The record is from RNAcentral.